This 1480-nucleotide ribosomal RNA is filed under the name metagenome. RNAcentral describes it as "bacterial SSU rRNA". It matches the Rfam family "Bacterial small subunit ribosomal RNA". The record is from RNAcentral.
AGAGUUUGAUCCUGGCUCAGGAUGAACGCUAGCGACAGGCCUAACACAUGCAAGUCGAGGGGUAACAUGAGUGCUUGCACUUGAUGACGACCGGCGCACGGGUGCGUAACGCGUAUGCAACUUACCUUGUACUGGGGAAUAGCCCGUGGAAACGCGGAUUAAUGUCCCAUAACACUACAAUUUCGCAUGGAAAAGUGGUUAAAGUUCCGACGGUACAAGAUGGGCAUGCGUGACAUUAGCUAGUUGGUGAGGUAAGGGCUCACCAAGGCGACGAUGUCUAGGGGUUCUGAGAGGAAGGUCCCCCACACUGGUACUGAGACACGGACCAGACUCCUACGGGAGGCAGCAGUGAGGAAUAUUGGUCAAUGGGCGCAAGCCUGAACCAGCCAUGUCGCGUGCAGGAAGACUGCCCUACGGGUUGUAAACUGCUUUUGUAUGGGAAGAAACGUUGGUACGUGUACCAAUUUGCCGGUACCAUACGAAUAAGGAUCGGCUAACUCCGUGCCAGCAGCCGCGGUAAUACGGAGGAUCCAAGCGUUAUCCGGAUUUAUUGGGUUUAAAGGGUGCGUAGGCGGUAGAAUAAGUCAGUGGUGAAAUCCUGCAGCUUAACUGUAGAACUGCCAUUGAUACUGUUUUACUUGAGUGUAAUUGAGGUAGGCGGAAUGUGUUGUGUAGCGGUGAAAUGCAUAGAUAUAACACAGAACACCGAUUGCGAAGGCAGCUUACUAAGUUAUAACUGACGCUGAUGCACGAAAGCGUGGGUAGCGAACAGGAUUAGAUACCCUGGUAGUCCACGCCGUAAACGAUGAUUACUCGCUGUAGGCAAUACACCGUCUGUGGCUGAGCGAAAGCAUUAAGUAAUCCACCUGGGGAGUACGUUGGCAACAAUGAAACUCAAAGGAAUUGACGGGGGCCCGCACAAGCGGAGGAACAUGUGGUUUAAUUCGAUGAUACGCGAGGAACCUUACCUGGACUUAAAUGUAGAUUGACGUAUCCAGAGAUGGAUAUUUCUUCGGACAAUUUACAAGGUGCUGCAUGGUUGUCGUCAGCUCGUGCCGUGAGGUGUCGGGUUAAGUCCCAUAACGAGCGCAACCCCUGUUGUUAGUUACCAGCACAUCAUGGUGGGGACUCUAACAAGACUGCCGGUGUAAACCGCGAGGAAGGUGGGGAUGACGGCAAAUCAGCACGGCCCUUACGUCCAGGGCUACACACGUGUUACAAUGGCCGGUACAGAGGGCAGCUACUUGGUGACAAGAUGCGAAUCUCAAAAACCGGUCUCAGUUCGGAUCGAAGUCUGCAACCCGACUUCGUGAAGCUGGAUUCGCUAGUAAUCGCAUAUUAGCCAUGAUGCGGUGAAUACGUUCCCGGGCCUUGUACACACCGCCCGUCAAACCAUGGAAGUCGAGGGUACCUGAAGUCUGUUACCGUAAGGAGUGGCCUAGGGUAAAACUGAUAACUAGGGUUAAGUCGUAACAAGGUA